This 468-nucleotide ribosomal RNA is filed under the name uncultured bacterium. RNAcentral's name for it is "partial 16S ribosomal RNA". It matches the Rfam family "Bacterial small subunit ribosomal RNA", at positions 28 to 507 of the family's 1533-position model. The record is from RNAcentral.
GACGAACGCUGGCGGCGUGCUUAACACAUGCAAGUCGAACGGAAAGGCCCUGCUUUUGUGGGGUGCUCGAGUGGCGAACGGGUGAGUAACACGUGAGUAACCUGCCCUUGACUUUGGGAUAACUUCAGGAAACUGGGGCUAAUACCGGAUAGGAGCUCCUGCUGCAUGGUGGGGGUUGGAAAGUUUCGGCGGUUGGGGAUGGACUCGCGGCUUAUCAGCUUGUUGGUGGGGUAGUGGCUUACCAAGGCUUUGACGGGUAGCCGGCCUGAGAGGGUGACCGGCGACAUUGGGACUAAGGUAGGGACCAGACUCCUACGGGAGGCAACAGUGGGGAAUAUUACACAGUGGGCGGAAGCCAGAUGCAGCAACGCCGGGUGCGGGAUGACGGCCUUCGGGUUGUAAACCGCUUUCGCCUGUGACGAAGCGUGAGUGACGGUAAUGAGUAAAGAAGCACCGGCUAACUACGUG